This 343-nucleotide unclassified non-coding RNA is filed under the name soil metagenome. RNAcentral describes it as "partial contains 5.8S ribosomal RNA, internal transcribed spacer 2, and large subunit ribosomal RNA". The stretch from base 1 to 120 matches the Rfam family "5.8S ribosomal RNA", at positions 35 to 154 of the family's 154-position model. The record is from RNAcentral.
GAUGAAGAACGCAGCGAAACGCGAUAAGUAAUGUGAAUUGCAGAAUCCAGUGAAUCAUCGAAUCUUUGAACGCACAUUGCGCCCGCCAGCAUUCUGGCGGGCAUGCCUGUUCGAGCGUCAUUUCAACCCUCGACCUCCCCUUGGGGAGGUCGGCGUUGGGGACCGGCAGCACACCGCCGGCCCUGAAAUGGAGUGGCGGCCCGUCCGCGGCGACCUCUGCGCAGUAAUACAGCUCGCACCGGGACCCCGACGCGGCCACGCCGUAAAACACCCAACUUCUGAACGUUGACCUCGAAUCAGGUAGGACUACCCGCUGAACUUAAGCAUAUCAAUAAGCGAAGGA